RNAcentral lists this unclassified non-coding RNA (426 nucleotides) under Hevea brasiliensis (rubber tree). The record is from RNAcentral. Lineage: Eukaryota; Viridiplantae; Streptophyta; Magnoliopsida; Malpighiales; Euphorbiaceae.
CCCUGUUCAAAUUACAUAACUUUAUUGUAAUAAGUACCAAGAGGAAAACAAGUGUCUUCGCCUCCUGUCCUGCAAAGGAAAUAAGCAUACUUUGAAGCAUAAUAAUGGCUGUUGGGGGCAGCUUCCAUUNNNNNNNNNNCUCUUCUGCAUUCCACAAAUCCUUCCUUACUAGCCACAAGAAAUCUGCAUAACAACUAAACGUCUCCGGGUCCGGUGGUCCUGACAUUAUCGCACGCUUGAAGCACUCCUCGGCCCUGUCGUAGUCAUGGCGAACUAGGUAGAGGAACUGAGCAUAAUUAGAGAGAAGAAGAGGGUUAUUUGGAUCCUCAGCUACACUCAUCUGGUAAACAAGAUCUGUUCUAUGAAACUCCACAUAAUCGUCUGGUUCAAUCUCUACAGAAAUGGGUGACAAAAGGUGCUUCAUUG